Long non-coding RNA from Thalassophryne amazonica, 153 nucleotides. RefSeq lists it as uncharacterized. Lineage: Eukaryota; Metazoa; Chordata; Actinopteri; Batrachoidiformes; Batrachoididae. The transcript is spliced from 3 exons. The record is from RefSeq and is a predicted model, not a curated record.
UUAAAUGGCACCAACAUAAUUAAAAGGUUUUGCUAUUAUUAGGUAGCCAAAUUAUUCUAAGUUCUUAAUUUUACCUCCAUUGUACUCUGAGAUGUCCAUGCAAAGUUUACCUUAAUUUUGUGAAGGUUUUUUAGUUUUGUGAACGUAUUUCAU